GGAAACCCAUGGGGUAUGGUAAUAGUGAAAAGGAUGAUUUGAUGCCUUUGGCGUCACUGAAAUGGACAAUCCGCAGCGAAGCCCCUGUUGCUUUAGCAAUAAAGCAUGGGGAACGUUCACAGACUAAGUGGAAAUGGGUGAAGCGUAUAGCUUUGCUUAAGAUAUAGUCGGGCCUCUUGGGAAACCAUGGGGAGAGGAUAGCCCAGCAAUUAUUUGUUGGCUGCCGUGCUUAACCGUUCCGUAGGUGAACCUGCGGAAGGAUCAUUACAUUUAGUAGUUUACUACUUGGGGAGAAUGGAAAAUACCCGCCUUGUCUUUGGGCACUGCGGCGUACGAGUACUUCUCUUUCGUAACCCUUGUCUUUUUGUGCACCCAUGUUUCCUCGGCGGGCUUGCCCGCCGGCUGGACACUUUUAUAACCAUUUUAAUUCUCAAUCAGCGUCUGAAUAAUUAUAAUAAUUACAACUUUCAACAACGGAUCUCUUGGUUCUGGCAUCGAUGAAGAACGCAGCGAAAUGCGAUAAGUAGUGUGAAUUGCAGAAUUCAGUGAAUCAUCGAAUCUUUGAACGCACAUUGCGCCCCUUGGUAUUCCAUGGGGCAUGCUUGUUCGAGCGUCAUUUGUACUCUCAAGCUUUGCUUGGUAUUGGGUGCUUGUCCUCUCCUUUGUAGUGGACUCACCUUAAAUUCAUUGGCAGCCAAUGUAUUGGUCUUGAAGCGCAGCACAUUUUGCGCCUCUAGCUGAUAAUCAUUAGCGUCCAUAAGUAAAUUAACAC
Molecule: ribosomal RNA, 772 nt
Filed under: Dematiopleospora mariae
Lineage: Eukaryota; Fungi; Ascomycota; Dothideomycetes; Pleosporales; Phaeosphaeriaceae
Description: eukaryotic LSU rRNA
Rfam family: 5.8S ribosomal RNA (bases 463-616)
Source: RNAcentral